CAGACACCAAAUGAAGUCGCUAUACAGCACCCAAGCGCCACUACUAACAGCAACACAGUGCUAUCCAGGGGGUGGCAACUCUACGAACAACUAUACCAUCAUUUACACCGACCAGCAUUGCGCAGUUGUGCUUAUACCACACUGAGCCCACGCUGCUGUAAACUGUAAAACUGCUUGCGAAAUGUGGGUAAGAGAAGACAGUGUGAAUUCCUGGAACAAUACUUGUGACGAUGUGUAUCGACAAGAGUGCGGAAACAGAAAAAUCACCGUCUACAAGAAGGAGCACUGCGAUUGCAUAAUCAACCACUUCGCAACGAAUACAACACACGGAACACAACUAAGCAAUAAAUGUUGAUA
Molecule: long non-coding RNA, 357 nt
Organism: Dermacentor silvarum
Lineage: Eukaryota; Metazoa; Arthropoda; Arachnida; Ixodida; Ixodidae
Exons: 3
Source: RefSeq, a predicted model, not a curated record